AAAAUGCGAAAAGUCAUGCGAAUUGCAUUCUUCGUGAAUCAUUAAAUCUUUGAACGCACCUUGCACCUUUGACUUCCUUUCGGGGUCAUGGGUAUACUUGCUUGAGUAUCGUAUCACAUCUCACUCGAGGAUUGAUUGUCUUGCACGAUCAGAAUUGAGUGGACUUGAGAUCCUCGCUGGGGUAACCCAAGGUGCGAGUUUCUUUGAAGAAAAGCCUUGCGAAAAGAAUCUUACUCUAAUGGGAUAAGGCGAUCUUGGUCGUCAUCAUUAUUGUAAGUAAUCAACUCUUUUCCUAUACCGAGGCAAGCAGAACGAAAGGUACGUCCCUUUCAACUAAUACAACUCAUCGAUCUCAAGUCAAGUAAGAGUACCCGCUGAACUUAA
RNAcentral lists this unclassified non-coding RNA (384 nucleotides) under uncultured fungus. Its description in RNAcentral is "sequence contains ITS1". The stretch from base 1 to 111 matches the Rfam family "5.8S ribosomal RNA", at positions 50 to 154 of the family's 154-position model. Lineage: Eukaryota; Fungi. The record is from RNAcentral.